Calliphora vicina (urban bluebottle blowfly) is the source of this 527-nucleotide long non-coding RNA. RefSeq lists it as uncharacterized. NCBI's taxonomy places the organism in Eukaryota, Metazoa, Arthropoda, Insecta, Diptera, Calliphoridae. The transcript has 2 exons. The record is from RefSeq and is a predicted model, not a curated record.
AACCACGAUGCGCAUAUAUGGAGUUUAAGUAAAGCAAGGUUGCAAUUGGAACGAACAUUUCAGAGGGGAGAAAGAAACACUUGGCUAUUGGGUGAUGAGGGAUAUCCCCUGGAACCCUGGCUAAUGACUCCAUAUCGAUCUACAACUGAAGGCACCCAGGAAAGUAACUACAACAUACGUCAUUCAAAGACGAGAAACAUCGUGGAAAGGACGAUUGGAGUUUUAAAGAACCGAUUUCGUUGUUUGUUAGGUGCUCGCGAACUUCAUUACACCCCGCAAAAAGCUGGUCAAAUUAUAAAUGUUGUUUGUGCCCUCCACAACAUUUGUAUAUACUACCGGGUAGAAGAUGUGAACACGCAUGAAUCGGAUUUUGAAAUUCCUCAAGAAGAUGGAGAAGACGAAAGCAUCGACUCAGGUUAUGCUUCUAUAGCACGUAGUAUUCGAAAUGACAUACUUACGUCUUUUUAACGUUUACAAAAUAUUACUCAUUAAAUUAAUAAAAAUAACAGUUUUUUAAUAAUUAUAAA